Molecule: long non-coding RNA, 844 nt
Organism: Homo sapiens (human)
Lineage: Eukaryota; Metazoa; Chordata; Mammalia; Primates; Hominidae
Exons: 4
Source: RefSeq, a predicted model, not a curated record
CUAGCCUGCGGAGACAGAGAACAUGUGGAGAGAAAGAUCAUAGUGAAUGAACUACCAUAUGGAGAGUGAAGCCACAUGGAAGAGAACCACAUUGCCCCAGUUUGACAGUAACAGCAAAGCUCCAUUUAUUGAGAAUGAAGCAAUCUUUGAUCUCUUAGCCCUAAUCAAGUCACCCCAGCUGACAUCACAUGGAGUAGAGACAAGCCAUCCCCACUGAGCCCCAAAUAUCCAACCAACAAAACUCACUGAAUGGAUCCCCAGUGUCUAACUGUGUAAAACAGCUGAGACGUCACUGCUUUCCAAUCUCUUGAAGGACAAGUGCUCAUCUUGGCUCACCUUGGAACCCACUUCAGAACCCAGGGGAAGUGUUAUGCAGGAAUUAUAAUAUGGGUCUUCUGUCAGAGCUCUACAGCUCCUAAACCAAGGUAUCACAUAUCUUCAAGACUGCUGAAUACUGGAAGCAAAAAAAAACCCCACGAAUUUUGCAGGCUACCUGCAAGAUGAGGAGACAGGAGAAGCAGCAGAAGAAAGGAACCAGAUUUCCUGCUUUCUUCUAUAGUGAAGAGAAUUGAACCCAGAGUAUCACUUGCAUAAGGAAACAAGACUGUUGGCUGCUCAUGCUUUCAUUGCAUUGAUUAGCUACUUCCUCAAUAUGGAGCCACCCUUGACAAAUGCAGCCAGAAUGUAAGUUUUCCUUCACCGACGGAAGUAGCUGUGGUAGAAGAAAGAUAAUUCUAGACUCUGAGGGUUUUUGGGGGGGUUUUGUUUCGUUUUUACAUUUCAUCACUUACAUUUCCUCAUUGUCUUACAAGAAUAACUCACUUCUCCCAGUUUCCAAGGUCAA